Molecule: transfer RNA, 62 nt
Filed under: Raillietina tetragona
Lineage: Eukaryota; Metazoa; Platyhelminthes; Cestoda; Cyclophyllidea; Davaineidae
Description: tRNA-Met
Source: RNAcentral
GAUAAGUUAGUAUAAACUGUGGGAUUCAUACUUCCAUAACAUACCGUUUGGUAUUUGAUCGG